CACGUGGAGGCUGUUAAACUUUUACAUAAUCUAGGGAAAGAAGGGACACAAGGUUGGCAUUAGUCUAGGGUCAGGUGGGAAAAGGUUAUGCUGAAAAGUCUCUGCAGCUCAGGACAGCUUUGUGCAAAGAACUGAAGUUCACAGCUGCUAGUGCCUGGGAGAUCAAAUAGUAUAAAUGAGGGCAGACAACCCUGAGGGGCAGAUGGAGCUUUCCAGACAAUCUUGGCAUGAGGAUGAGUGAGUUUCAAAUCAGUCCUGCCGAGGCAGAUGGCUUCCUCCAGCUCUGCUUACUGAAUGCGAAGUCACAGUCAGUAAGAAAACUGGUUUUCUUCUUCCCAGGCGCUGCCCCAUACCUGAAGACCAAGUUUAUCUGUGUGACACCAACGACCUGCAGCAAUACCAUUGACCUGCCGAUGUCCCCCCGCACUUUAGAUUCAUUGAUGCAGUUUGGAAAUAAUGGUGAAGGUGCUGAACCCUCAGCAGGAGGGCAGUUUGAGUCCCUCACCUUUGACAUGGAGUUGACCUCGGAGUGCGCUACCUCCCCCAUGUGAGGAGCUGAGAACGGAAGCUGCAGAAAGAUACGACUGAGGCGCCUACCUGCAUUCCGCCACCCCUCACACAGCCAAACCCCAGAUCAUCUGAAACUACUAACUUUGUGGUUCCAGAUUUUUUUAAAUCUCCUACUUCUGCUAUCUUUGA
Molecule: small RNA, 699 nt
Filed under: Pan troglodytes (chimpanzee)
Lineage: Eukaryota; Metazoa; Chordata; Mammalia; Primates; Hominidae
Description: retained intron
Source: RNAcentral